This 520-nucleotide unclassified non-coding RNA is filed under the name uncultured Glomus. Its description in RNAcentral is "SSU rRNA". It matches the Rfam family "Eukaryotic small subunit ribosomal RNA", at positions 569 to 1083 of the family's 1831-position model. The record is from RNAcentral. Lineage: Eukaryota; Fungi; Glomeromycota; Glomeromycetes; Glomerales; Glomeraceae.
AGCAGCCGCGGUAAUUCCAGCUCCAAUAGCGUAUAUUAAAAGUUGUUGCAGUUAAAAAGCUCGUAGUUGAAUUUUCGGGGAUCAAUAUGUCGGUCGUGCCUUGGUACGUACUGGUAUCAUUGGUCUCUCCUUUCUGACGAACCAUGAUGUCAUUAAUUUGGUGUUAUGGGAAGUCAGGACUGUUACUUUGAAAAAAAUUAGAGUGUUUAAAGCAGGCUUUAGCUUGAAUACAUUAGCACGGAAUAAUGAAAUAGGACGUUCGAACCUAUUUUUGUUGGUUUCUAGGAUCAACGUAAUGAUUAAUAGGGGAUAGUUGGGGGGCAUUAGUAUUCAAUUGUCAGAGGUGAAAUUCUUGGAUUUAUUGAAGACUAACUACUGCGAAAGCAUUUUGCCAAGGAUGUUUUCAUUAAUCAAGAACGAAAGUUAGGGGAUCGAAGACGAUCAGAUACCGUCGUAGUCUUAACCAUAAACUAUGCCGACUAGGGAUCGGAUGAUGUUAAUUUUUUAAUGACUCAUUCGG